GCGGGGCCGGGAGUCCUUGCUGUGUAAGGCAGUGUUUGCUUUCAGCGAAUUUAAACUUGCUCGUAGCAGAUCUGAACGGAGCAAAACUGAGGGAGGAGGAAGGGCUGCGAGCGUGGCACGUUCGUGCUCAGCCGUCCGAGUCCCGAUAGCGUCAGCGUGUCAGAACAAAAGUGUUUCAAUAAACCUAAAUGCAAGUUACGUCUCUAUGAAGGACAAAGGCACAUCUGCAAUAAAGGUCACCUCCUGCAUUUUUCCCCAGAAGGAAAGGAUGGCAGUAGUAGCUGAACACUCUGGUCUGAAUUGCAUCCGGGGACAUAUUGACAAGCCCUCCAAAGACUAUGAAAUGAGCAUGGGAUGACUUGCCCUGAUGUAGACGCC
Long non-coding RNA from Aptenodytes forsteri (emperor penguin), 378 nucleotides. RefSeq lists it as uncharacterized. Lineage: Eukaryota; Metazoa; Chordata; Aves; Sphenisciformes; Spheniscidae. The record is from RefSeq and is a predicted model, not a curated record. The transcript has 3 exons.